Molecule: ribosomal RNA, 253 nt
Filed under: uncultured bacterium
Lineage: Bacteria
Description: partial 16S ribosomal RNA
Rfam family: Bacterial small subunit ribosomal RNA
Source: RNAcentral
UACGGAGGGUUCAAGCGUUAUCCGGAUUCACUGGGUUUAAAGGGUGCGUAGGUGGGCAGGUAAGUCAGUGGUGAAAUCUCCGAGCUUAACUCGGAAACUGCCGUUGAUACUAUUUGUCUUGAAUAUUGUGGAGGUAAGCGGAAUAUGUCAUGUAGCGGUGAAAUGCUUAGAUAUGACAUAGAACACCAAUUGCGAAGGCAGCUUACUACACAACGAUUGACGCUGAGGCACGAAAGCGUGGGGAUCAAACAGG